Nematostella vectensis (starlet sea anemone) is the source of this 164-nucleotide long non-coding RNA. RefSeq lists it as uncharacterized. The transcript is spliced from 2 exons. NCBI's taxonomy places the organism in Eukaryota, Metazoa, Cnidaria, Anthozoa, Actiniaria, Edwardsiidae. The record is from RefSeq and is a predicted model, not a curated record.
UCAAAAUAUUGCACUCAUACGAAGAAUAUAUCUCUUUUUUACGAGAAAUAGAGGGCAAGGCUGCAAAUAAUAGGACCACUUAUGGCUUACCCCUCAUGGAAGACUGGAGCACCAGGAUGAUGCCAGCAUCUCUCAUCAUUUGUGCUUUCACUCACAUACGUCUA